AAGCAUAUCAAUAAGCGGAGGAAAAGAAACCAACAGGGAUUGCCUUAGUAACUGCGAGUGAAGCGGCAAAAGCUCAAAUUUGAAAUCUGGGGCCUCACAGCCUCCGAAUUGUAAUUUCACGAUACGUUUUCGACUGAAGGCUCUGCUUUAAGUUCCUUGGAACAGGACGUCACAGAGGGUGAGAAUCCCGUGAUAGGUGGAGCCUGAUGCAUAUGAUACGUAUUCAACGAGUCGAGUUGUUUGGGAAUGCAGCUCAAAAUGGGAGGUAAAUUUCUUCUAAAGCUAAAUAUUGGCGAGAGACCGAUAGCGCACAAGUAGAGUGAUCGAAAGAUGAAAAGCACUUUGAAAAGAGAGUUAAAAAGUACGUGAAAUUGUUGAAAGGGAAGCGCUUGAGACCAGACUCAAUCUGUAGUGAUCAAUUUGGCUUCUGUCAGAUGCACUUGCUACUUAUUGGGACAGCAUCGGUUUUGGCGGUGGGAUAAAGUCUUGAGGAAUGUAGCUAUCUUCGGGUAGUGUUAUAGCCUCUUGAGUAAUGCCACCAGCUGGGACCGAGGACCGCGCCGCAAGGCUAGGAUGCUGUCAUAAUGGUCUUCAGCGACCCGUCUUGAAACACGGACCAAGGAGUCUAACAUCUAUGCGAGUGUUCGGGUGGAAAACCCUUGCGCGUAAUGAAAGUGAACGGAGGUGGGAACCUUAGGGUGCACCAUCGACCGAUCCUGAUGUCUUCGGAAGGAUUUGAGUAUGAGCAUAGCUGUUGGGACCCGAAAGAUGGUGAACUAUGCCUGAAUAGGGUGAAGCCAGAGGAAACUCUGGUGGAGGCUCGCAGCGGUUCUGACGUGCAAAUCGAUCGUCAAAUUUGGGUAUAGGGGCGAAAGACUAAUCGAACCAUCUAGUAGC
This 897-nucleotide ribosomal RNA is filed under the name Geopyxis carbonaria. RNAcentral describes it as "eukaryotic LSU rRNA". It matches the Rfam family "Eukaryotic large subunit ribosomal RNA", at positions 36 to 951 of the family's 3401-position model. The record is from RNAcentral. Lineage: Eukaryota; Fungi; Ascomycota; Pezizomycetes; Pezizales; Tarzettaceae.